UAUGUACAUGUGACCACCCUACAUAUAGUUUGGGUCACAUAUUAAAUUAUUUAUAUAUAUUUCCUUUUUAUUUUUACAUAUGUUCAUUUCUAUUUACAUGUAUAUAUAAGUUUUAUUUUAAUUACUUAAAAUAUAUGAUGAGUUUGCACUGAAUAGUUCAGCUGCAUUUUCUGAACUCUGGGUGGCAGUUGAGAGAGUAGAGUUACCAUGACGACUGCAGCGCAUCCUCAGACAACAAAGAGGACCGUUAAGGAAACAACUAACUCUUGUCUCUCUCUCUCAUUUAAUGUCAAGUUGAUUACUGCUUACAGUCUUCCCGACUGCCCGGGACCUGUAACAGAUUUUGGGGGCUCGUCCGGGAUCAGCGUUACUCUGAAGACGCCUGGUCCAGUGAUUUUGAACCUAGGGACAGCAAAGCACAUUCUUCAGGAAGGGAGCAACGUGUGUGUGAGAGGAUAAGGGGAGCAGGUGACCAGCAUCAUCCUGACCAGGCGCAUCACCACAUAACCAGAUCUACCUGGAAGUGCAUCAUGUCCGACGAAGAAAGAAAGAGACUUGUCUGGAACAUCAAGAAGAAAGUCUACACUUUGAACACAGUUGAGAGAGUAGAGUUACCAUGACGACUGCAGCGCAUCCUCAGACAACAAAGAGGACCGUUAAGGAAACAACUAACUCUUGUCUCUCUCUCUCAUUUAAUGUCAAGGUUAGUUAAAUUAAUUAAAUUUCAUACCAAACUGUAAUUUACAUGUUUUAAUGUCCAAAUAAUUUGUUUCAGUUGAUUAUUUAUUUUAUUAAUAAUUUUAAGACACUUACAGUAUGUCAUAGAAAAGUUUACUCAUGUAACACUAUCACUUACCUGAAAUAAGUUACUCACUUGAGUUGUUU
This is a long non-coding RNA of Cyprinus carpio carpio, 885 nucleotides long. The record is from Ensembl. Lineage: Eukaryota; Metazoa; Chordata; Actinopteri; Cypriniformes; Cyprinidae.